This 253-nucleotide ribosomal RNA is filed under the name uncultured bacterium. RNAcentral describes it as "partial 16S ribosomal RNA". It matches the Rfam family "Bacterial small subunit ribosomal RNA", at positions 524 to 776 of the family's 1533-position model. The record is from RNAcentral.
UACGGGGGGGGCAAGCGUUGUUCGGAAUUACUGGGCGUAAAGGGCUUGUAGGUGGCCAACUAAGUCAGACGUGAAAUCCCUCGGCUUAACCGGGGAACUGCGUCUGAUACUGGAUGGCUAGAGUUUGGGAGAGGGAUGUGGAAUUCCAGGUGUAGCGGUGAAAUGCGCAGAUAUCGGGAGGAACACCAGUAGCGAAGGCGGCCCUCUGGGCUGACACUGACGCUCAUGCACGAAAGCGUGGGGAGCAAACAGG